CACGUAGGGUGCGAGCGUUGUCCGGAAUUAUUGGGCGUAAAGAGCUCGUAGGCGGUGUGUCGCGUCGGCCGUGAAAACCUGCAGCUUAACUGUGGGCUUGCGGUCGAUACGGGCAUCACUGGAGUUCGGCAGGGGAGACUGGAAUUCCUGGUGUAGCGGUGAAAUGCGCAGAUAUCGGGAGGAACACCUGUGGCGAAGGCGACCCCCUGGUUGGAUACUGACGCUGAGACGCGAAAGCGUGGGGAGCAAACAGG
RNAcentral lists this ribosomal RNA (254 nucleotides) under uncultured bacterium. Its description in RNAcentral is "partial 16S ribosomal RNA". It matches the Rfam family "Bacterial small subunit ribosomal RNA", at positions 524 to 776 of the family's 1533-position model. The record is from RNAcentral.